RNAcentral lists this long non-coding RNA (1161 nucleotides) under Homo sapiens (human). RNAcentral's name for it is "HSALNT0091100". Lineage: Eukaryota; Metazoa; Chordata; Mammalia; Primates; Hominidae. The record is from RNAcentral.
CUUCUCUCUGCCCGUCUCUGCUUCCCCCCCCUUCCCCCCCCCCUUUUCUCCCGGCCGACGGAGCUGAAGGGGCGGGGGUUCCUUCCUUGGAGUGUUUCUAGAGCUCGGAGGCUGCUGGUAGGGGGAAGUUGUACCCGUCAGCACCUGCUGAGGGCUUUGUUGUCCAAACCCUGACAGGUAAAAAAAUUCCUGCAGAAUAAAGCCAGACCAGCUGGCUUUGAAGAGAAACCCCCCAGUUUGGGCUGCGUUUGCCUCCUCUCCUUUUCUAUGAAGACCGAGGCUUUGCCCCCUUGAUCGUCAAGCCGUGAGAUGCGUGAUCUCUCUGCACAAGUGUCUGGCAGGCCGAGGUGCACCUGUUUCUGUCACUCUGGAGUAAAUUUAGCUGUAAAGGGCACCACUUUCAGAUAAAAACAUAGACCUGAAUGGCAUCAUCCAGUAUCCAAGGAAACCAUGUUCUCUAAACAUGAAUAUGCCUUUGGGGGAAGACAGAAGAACAUGGAAGCCAUGUGAAAAAAACGGAUCCUAAGGCAGUUUUGAACAUCUGGAGGCCUGAUUUAUUGGAGAUUGCAAAUGUACAGUGUAACAUAGCUGUGGAGAGCGAGAAGAUCAGGAUUGUCAAUGCUGUCAUUGCUUUUACUGGAAUCCCCAGCACGAAUUGAAGGUUUGACCAGAGACAAAGAAGCAAAUGCUAUCAAUUAACAUUCACAUGUGGUAGGUCUCACUUUGCCACCUAGGCUGGAUGCAAUGCAACGGUAUGUUGAUCUUGGUUCACUGCAGCCUCAACCUCCUGAGCUCAUGUGAUCCUCCCACCUCAGUCCCCCACGUCGCUUGGAUUACAGGCCUGUGCCACCACACCUGGCUAACUUUUUUUGUAAUUUUUGUAGAGACAGGGUCUCACUAUGUUUCCCAUGCUGGUCUUUAAUGCCUGAGCUCAAGCCAUCCGCCUGCCUCGGCCUCCCAAAUUGCUGGGAUUACAGGCAUGAGCCACCAUGCCCAGCCUAAUUCUUCUAAAUCUUAUCCUAGUAAUUAAGCCAGAAUUUUUCUCUGCCAAGACCAAUAGAUGGACCAAGAAGUACUCAUCCUUGUAAACUUUCUUUGGAUAAAUUGCUUACAUAUAAUAAAUUCAGAGUUAAGUAAUAAAAAUAAUGAACUACUGUCUUG